RNAcentral lists this ribosomal RNA (279 nucleotides) under uncultured bacterium. RNAcentral's name for it is "partial 16S ribosomal RNA". It matches the Rfam family "Bacterial small subunit ribosomal RNA", at positions 506 to 784 of the family's 1533-position model. The record is from RNAcentral.
UGCCAGCAGCCGCGGUAAUACGAAGUGUGCUAGCGUUGUUCGGAAUUACUGGGCGUAAAGCGCGCGUAGGCGGACUUUUAAGUCAGAUGUGAAAUCCCGAGGCUCAACCUCGGAACUGCAUUUGAAACUGGGAGUCUAGAGGUCAGGAGAGGUUCGUGGAAUGCCGAGUGUAGAGGUGAAAUUCGUAGAUAUUCGGUGGAACACCAGUGGCGAAGGCGACGAACUGGACUGAUACUGACGCUGAGGCGCGAAAGUGUGGGGAGCAAACAGGAUUAGAUA